This 97-nucleotide non-coding RNA is filed under the name Aurantiochytrium limacinum. Lineage: Eukaryota; Bigyra; Thraustochytrida; Thraustochytriidae. The record is from RNAcentral.
AGGUGGCCGCAAGCAAACCCAUAUCUCCGACUUCGGGGGUCAAGCCACGCUGGGCAGGCGCAGGAGCGCAGAGGGGCGUGGAGGCGAGCUAGAUCUC